RNAcentral lists this ribosomal RNA (183 nucleotides) under uncultured Bacillus sp. RNAcentral describes it as "partial 16S ribosomal RNA". It matches the Rfam family "Bacterial small subunit ribosomal RNA", at positions 371 to 539 of the family's 1533-position model. The record is from RNAcentral. Lineage: Bacteria; Bacillati; Bacillota; Bacilli; Caryophanales; Bacillaceae.
AAGGCCGGGAAGGCGCGCCUGAUGAGCACGCCGCGUGAGUGAUGUGGCCUUCGGAUCGUAAGCUCUGUUGCCGGGGAAGACGUGCAGAAGAGGAAAUGCCGGUGCCUUGACGGUUCCUGGCCAGAAAGCCACGGCUAACUACGUGCCAGCAGCCGCGGUAAUACGGGAGCCAGCAGCCGCGGU